GGGGCUCCGGGGACCAUGGGGCUCCUGACCAUUCUGAAGAAGAUGAAGCAGAAAGAGCGGGAGCUGCGACUGCUCAUGCUUGGCCUGGACAAUGCUGGAAAGACAACCAUCCUGAAGAAGUUCAAUGGGGAGGACAUCGACACCAUCUCCCCAACGCUGGGCUUCAACAUCAAGACCCUGGAGCACCGAGGAUUCAAGCUGAACAUCUGGGAUGUGGGUGGCCAGAAGUCCCUGCGGUCCUACUGGCGGAACUACUUUGAGAGCACCGAUGGCCUCAUCUGGGUAGUGGACAGCGCAGACCGCCAGCGCAUGCAGGACUGCCAGCGGGAGCUCCAGAGCCUGCUGGUGGAGGAGCGCCUGGCCGGAGCAACCCUCCUCAUCUUUGCUAAUAAGCAGGACCUGCCUGGAGCACUGUCCUCUAACGCCAUCCGCGAGGUGAGUCCUGGAGCUGGACUCCAUCCGCAGCCACCACUGGUGCAUCCAGGGCUGCAGCGCCGUCACCGGGGAGAACCUGCUGCCGGGCAUCGACUGGCUCCUGGAUGACAUUUCCAGCCGCAUUUUCACAGCUGACUGAACCACUCCAGAUGCCCCCCACCUAGCAGUCCAGGUCCCUCAACCUUCACCAAACACUACCCAUGGGGGGUUGGGAGUCAGCCGGCCAAACUAACACUCCCCCUCCUCCACCCCAGCCUGCUGCUGCUACUGCUGCCCGCUGCUGCUCUGUGGCCACCCGGCUCCCAUGGCGGGAGGGCUGUGCCCUGGCUGUCUCUCUGGCUCCUGACCUGGCCUUUGGCUACCAUACCAAGAAGAGAGGGCUGGGCGGGGAGGAGCUGCUACUGCUGCUACCGAGGCUGUGGGCCUCAUCCUUCACUCAGUUGUGAAAUAAACCGCUCCUUGCCCC
Molecule: long non-coding RNA, 901 nt
Filed under: Homo sapiens (human)
Lineage: Eukaryota; Metazoa; Chordata; Mammalia; Primates; Hominidae
Description: long non-coding RNA NONHSAT159223.1
Source: RNAcentral